Molecule: long non-coding RNA, 832 nt
Organism: Echinops telfairi (small Madagascar hedgehog)
Lineage: Eukaryota; Metazoa; Chordata; Mammalia; Afrosoricida; Tenrecidae
Exons: 3
Source: RefSeq, a predicted model, not a curated record
UGUUUCCGGAGUUCUUCCCCCAGGGAGUACCGGGCUGCUGCAACCACAGAGUGGGUGGUUCAAACCCACCAGCCGCUCCACAGGAGAAAGAUGAGGCUUUUUACUCCCACAAAGAGUGACCGUCUGGGAAGCCCACAGGGGGCCGUACUACCCUGUCCGACACGGUCGCUCGAGUCUGCAUGGGCUUGAUGGCAUUUGGGUUUUCUUGUCACCAUGUGGGCCUGCUGUGAGCUGGAACAAGCAUCACACUGAGGGAUUGGUGUGGCCUCCAUCAGCCUGGCUCGGCCCAGGCAUCUGCCCGCUCUGAGCAUCACUGUCCAGCCCCAGAGCUGCCCCUCAUGCCGGCUCUGGCUUCGGCCUCCUCAGACAGAGAAGGAAGUUCUUGUUGAGGUCUCCCCAGUGCCCAGGACAGGGCACCCAGAAGAUGCUCAGCCCACGUGUGAGAUGUUACUUGGACUCUGUCUCUUGAGACGACCCCAUGUAUGUUGCCAGCGACCACGGGGUGCUCCACACGGGCUGAGGGGCUGGCUUUCCUAACCAGAUCACCAGGCCUUUCUUCCAAGGUCCCUCAGGGUGGACUUCAACCUCCACUGCUCAGUCACGAGGGGGACAAAGUGCCCAAGCCAGUCAGCGGCCAGAGUGUGGGGCCUUUCCAAGCGGAGACAUCGGGCUGUCCAGGGAUCGGAGUGCCGAGGUCGGCGCCUGCUCUCCCCAGCCCACUGAAGACAAACCCCUGUGACAAGAACUUCAGCAUCCCGAUGGGCGUAAAGGGCACCCCGAAGUCCGGCCAGCUGGUGAAGUGCAGCUGAGAGACCAGCCGGGGAGCCUUGCA